RNAcentral lists this ribosomal RNA (401 nucleotides) under uncultured bacterium. RNAcentral describes it as "bacterial SSU rRNA". It matches the Rfam family "Bacterial small subunit ribosomal RNA", at positions 29 to 433 of the family's 1533-position model. The record is from RNAcentral.
AUUGAACGCUGGCGGAAUGCUUUACACAUGCAAGUCGAGCGGCAGCGCAGGGGCAACCCUGGCGGCGAGCGGCGAACGGGUGAGUAAUGCAUCGGAACAUGUCCGGUUGUGGGGGAUAACCUGGCGAAGGCCAGGCUAAUACCGCAUGAGCUCGAGAGAGGAAAGCGGGGGACCGUAAGGCCUCGCGCGACCGGGUUGGCCGAUGUCCGAUUAGCUAGUUGGUGGGGUAAAGGCUUACCAAGGCGAUGAUCGGUAGCUGGUCUGAGAGGAUGAUCAGCCACACUGGGACUGAGACACGGCCCAGACUCCUACGGGAGGCAGCAGUGGGGAAUUUUGGACAAUGGGGGCAACCCUGAUCCAGCCAUUCCGCGUGAGUGAAGAAGGCCUGGUUGUAAGUACUC